GGAGGUGUUGCUGAGCGGUUGAAAG
RNAcentral lists this transfer RNA (25 nucleotides) under Ecklonia maxima. RNAcentral's name for it is "partial tRNA-Ser". Lineage: Eukaryota; Phaeophyceae; Laminariales; Lessoniaceae. The record is from RNAcentral.